UAAUACAGAGGUGGCAAGCGUUGUUCGGAUUUACUGGGCGUAAAGGGUGCGUAGGCGGUCUUGUGUGUCGGGUGUGAAAUCCCACGGAUUAUCCGUGGAACUGCAUUCGAAACUACAGGGCUGGAGUGCAGGAGAGGAAGGUGGAAUUCUCGGUGUAGCGGUGAAAUGCGUUGAUAUCGAGAGGAACGCCGGAGGCGAAGGCGACCUUCUGGACUGCAACUGACGCUGAGGCACGAAAGCUAGGGGAGCAAACAGGAUUAGAUACCCUGGUAGUCCUAGCCGUAAACGGUGUGAACUUGACGUGGGAGGAAUUAUCCCCUUCCGUGUCGAAGCAAACGCGAUAAGUUCACCGCCUGGGGAGUACGGUCGCAAGAUUAAAACUCAAAGAAAUUGACGGGGGCCCGCACAAGCGGUGGAGCAUGUUGCUUAAUUCGAUGCAACGCGAAGAACCUUACCUGGGUUUGACAUGUGGCUGGAUGCUGCGGGAAACCGCGGAGGCUUUCGAGGCUGCCAC
Molecule: ribosomal RNA, 514 nt
Filed under: uncultured Verrucomicrobium sp.
Lineage: Bacteria; Pseudomonadati; Verrucomicrobiota; Verrucomicrobiia; Verrucomicrobiales; Verrucomicrobiaceae
Description: bacterial SSU rRNA
Rfam family: Bacterial small subunit ribosomal RNA
Source: RNAcentral